GUGCGAAUGCUGACAUAAGUAACGAUAAAGCGGGUGAAAAGCCCGCUCGCCGGAAGACCAAGGGUUCCUGUCCAACGUUAAUCGGGGCAGGGUGAGUCGACCCCUAAGGCGAGGCCGAAAGGCGUAGUCGAUGGGAAACAGGUUAAUAUUCCUGUACUUGGUGUUACUGCGAAGGGGGGACGGAGAAGGCUAUGUUGGCCGGGCGACGGUUGUCCCGGUUUAAGCGUGUAGGCUGGUUUUCCAGGCAAAUCCGGAAAACCAAGGCUGAGGCGUGAUGACGAGGCACUACGGUGCUGAAGUGACAAAUGCCCUGCUUCCAGGAAAAGCCUCUAAGCAUCAGGUAACAUCAAAUCGUACCCCAAACCGACACAGGUGGUCAGGUAGAGAAUACCAAGGCGCUUGAGAGAACUCGGGUGAAGGAACUAGGCAAAAUGGUGCCGUAACUUCGGGAGAAGGCACGCUGAUAUGUAGGUGAAGCGACUUGCUCGUGGAGCUGAAAUCAGUCGAAGAUACCAGCUGGCUGCAACUGUUUAUUAAAAACACAGCACUGUGCAAACACGAAAGUGGACGUAUACGGUGUGACGCCUGCCCGGUGCCGGAAGGUUAAUUGAUGGGGUUAGCGGUAACGCGAAGCUCUUGAUCGAAGCCCCGGUAAACGGCGGCCGUAACUAUAACGGUCCUAAGGUAGCGAAAUUCCUUGUCGGGUAAGUUCCGACCUGCACGAAUGGCGUAAUGAUGGCCAGGCUGUCUCCACCCGAGACUCAGUGAAAUUGAACUCGCUGUGAAGAUGCAGUGUACCCGCGGCAAGACGGAAAGACCCCGUGAACCUUUACUAUAGCUUGACACUGAACAUUGAGCCUUGAUGUGUAGGAUAGGUGGGAGGCUUUGAAGUGUGGACGCCAGUCUGCAUGGAGCCGACCUUGAAAUACCACCCUUUAAUGUUUGAUGUUCUAACGUUGGCCCCUAAUCGGGGUUGCGGACAGUGUCUGGUGGGUAGUUUGACUGGGGCGGUCUCCUCCUAAAGAGUAACGGAGGAGCACGAAGGUUGGCUAAUCCUGGUCGGACAUCAGGAGGUUAGUGCAAUGGCAUAAGCCAGCUUGACUGCGAGCGUGACGGCGCGAGCAGGUGCGAAAGCAGGUCAUAGUGAUCCGGUGGUUCUGAAUGGAAGGGCCAUCGCUCAACGGAUAAAAGGUACUCCGGGGAUAACAGGCUGAUACCGCCCAAGAGUUCAUAUCGACGGCGGUGUUUGGCACCUCGAUGUCGGCUCAUCACAUCCUGGGGCUGAAGUAGGUCCCAAGGGUAUGGCUGUUCGCCAUUUAAAGUGGUACGCGAGCUGGGUUUAGAACGUCGUGAGACAGUUCGGUCCCUAUCUGCCGUGGGCGCUGGAGAACUGAGGGGGGCUGCUCCUAGUACGAGAGGACCGGAGUGGACGCAUCACUGGUGUUCGGGUUGUCAUGCCAAUGGCACUGCCCGGUAGCUAAAUGCGGAAGAGAUAAGUGCUGAAAGCAUCUAAGCACGAAACUUGCCCCGAGAUGAGUUCUCCCUGAGACUUAGAGUCUCCUGAAGGAACGUUGAAGACGACGACGUUGAUAGGCCGGGUGUGUAAGCGCAGCGAUGCGUUGAGCUAACCGGUACUAAUGAACCGUGAGGCUUAACCUUACAACGCCGAAG
RNAcentral lists this ribosomal RNA (1671 nucleotides) under Escherichia coli. RNAcentral's name for it is "partial 23S ribosomal RNA". It matches the Rfam family "Bacterial large subunit ribosomal RNA", at positions 1288 to 2925 of the family's 2925-position model. Lineage: Bacteria; Pseudomonadati; Pseudomonadota; Gammaproteobacteria; Enterobacterales; Enterobacteriaceae. The record is from RNAcentral.